GGAGGAUUAGCUCAGCUGGGAGAGCACCUGGUUUACACCCAGGUUGUCGGCGGUUCGAUCCCGUCAUCCUCCACAA
RNAcentral lists this transfer RNA (76 nucleotides) under Treponema sp. Its description in RNAcentral is "tRNA-Val". It matches the Rfam family "tRNA". From Rfam's summary of the family: Transfer RNA (tRNA) molecules are approximately 80 nucleotides in length. Their secondary structure includes four short double-helical elements and three loops (D, anti-codon, and T loops). Further hydrogen bonds mediate the characteristic L-shaped molecular structure. tRNAs have two regions of fundamental functional importance: the anti-codon, which is responsible for specific mRNA codon recognition, and the 3' end, to which the tRNAs corresponding amino acid is attached (by aminoacyl-tRNA synthetases). tRNAs cope with the degeneracy of the genetic code in two manners: having more than one tRNA (with a specific anti-codon) for a particular amino acid; and 'wobble' base-pairing, i.e. permitting non-standard base-pairing at the 3rd anti-codon position. Lineage: Bacteria; Pseudomonadati; Spirochaetota; Spirochaetia; Treponematales; Treponemataceae. The record is from RNAcentral.